UGUUAUAUAGUUUAAAAAAAACAUUAAUUUUGUAAAUUAAAAACUUAAUAUAUUUAAUAUAACAA
This 65-nucleotide transfer RNA is filed under the name Bombus lapidarius. RNAcentral's name for it is "tRNA-Thr". Lineage: Eukaryota; Metazoa; Arthropoda; Insecta; Hymenoptera; Apidae. The record is from RNAcentral.